Molecule: long non-coding RNA, 305 nt
Organism: Gadus morhua (Atlantic cod)
Lineage: Eukaryota; Metazoa; Chordata; Actinopteri; Gadiformes; Gadidae
Exons: 3
Source: RefSeq, a predicted model, not a curated record
UUGUAAUUAAUUCCAGGUCAGAUUAUCCUGGGCACUGCGCAAAGUAUGGGUCAUACUCUCUGAUAGAGGACAGAGUGAACAAGGUGGUGGAUGUUCAGCUUGUUCAGAGCUCAGAGGUCCCCAACAGCUCAUGGUGUGAGCUUGAAGGCCUCAAGCGCAGUGUUGGCCUGCUGAGGGGAAACGACCUGCAUUUGGCAACGCUGAUCACGGACCGACAUCGCCAGGUUGCCAAAUGGGUGAGAGAGGAGCUGAUCCCUGAAGGGACACAGCAUUAUUUUGACGUGUGGCACAUUGGCAAAAGUAUG